AGCGAACGCUGGCGGCAUGCCUAACACAUGCAAGUCGCACGGGGGGGCUUCGGCCUCCCAGUGGCGGACGGGUGAGGAACGCGUAGGGACCUGUCGAGGGGUGGGGGAUAACCGCGGGAAACUGCGGCUAAUACCGCAUGACGCCGCGGCGUGACAGCCGGGGCCAAAGGCGAAAGCCGCCCGCCGAGGGGCCUGCGUCCGAUUAGCUGGUUGGCGGGGUAGCGGCCCACCAAGGCGUCGAUCGGUAGCUGGUCUGAGAGGGUGAUCAGCCACACCGGGACUGAGACACGGCCCGGACUCCUACGGGAGGCAGCAGUGGGGAAUAUUGGACAAUGGGCGCAAGCCUGAUCCAGCAAUGCCGCGUGGGUGAAGAAGGUCUGCGGAUUGUAAAGCCCUUGCGGCGGGGACGAUGGUGACGGUACCCGCAGAAGAAGCCCCGGCUAACUUCGUG
This 451-nucleotide ribosomal RNA is filed under the name uncultured bacterium. RNAcentral's name for it is "partial 16S ribosomal RNA". It matches the Rfam family "Bacterial small subunit ribosomal RNA", at positions 28 to 507 of the family's 1533-position model. The record is from RNAcentral.